RNAcentral lists this transfer RNA (96 nucleotides) under Bacillota bacterium. RNAcentral's name for it is "Firmicutes bacterium tRNA-Ser". It matches the Rfam family "tRNA". From Rfam's summary of the family: Transfer RNA (tRNA) molecules are approximately 80 nucleotides in length. Their secondary structure includes four short double-helical elements and three loops (D, anti-codon, and T loops). The record is from RNAcentral. Lineage: Bacteria; Bacillati; Bacillota.
GGAGAGGUGGGUGAGUGGCUGAAACCAAGCGCCUGCUAAGCGUUUGAGGGGGCUGAUAAACCUCCUCCGAGGGUUCGAAUCCCUCCCUCUCCGCCA